GUAGGGAAUCUUCCACAAUGGACGAAAGUCUGAUGGAGCAACGCCGCGUGAGUGAAGAAGGUUCUCGGAUCGUAAAACUCUGUUGUGAGGGAAGAACAAGUACCGGAGUAACUGCCGGUACCUUGACGGUACCUCAUUAGAAAGCCACGGCUAACUACGUGCCAGCAGCCGCGGUAAUACGUAGGUGGCAAGCGUUGUCCGGAAUCAUUGGGCGUAAAGCGCGCGCAGGCGGUCCCUUAAGUCUGAUGUGAAAGCCCACGGCUCAACCGUGGAGGGUCAUUGGAAACUGGGGGACUUGAGUGCAGAAGAGGAAAGCGGAAUUCCAAGUGUAGCGGUGAAAUGCGUAGAGAUUUGGAGGAACACCAGUGGCGAAGGCGGCUUUCUGGUCUGUAACUGACGCUGAGGCGCGAAAGCGUGGGGAGCAAACAGGAUUAGAUACCCUAGUAGUCC
RNAcentral lists this ribosomal RNA (450 nucleotides) under uncultured bacterium. RNAcentral's name for it is "partial 16S ribosomal RNA". It matches the Rfam family "Bacterial small subunit ribosomal RNA", at positions 354 to 796 of the family's 1533-position model. The record is from RNAcentral.